This 911-nucleotide unclassified non-coding RNA is filed under the name Hevea brasiliensis (rubber tree). The record is from RNAcentral. Lineage: Eukaryota; Viridiplantae; Streptophyta; Magnoliopsida; Malpighiales; Euphorbiaceae.
AUGGAUCUGAAAACUAUCAAGGUUCUGUUCUUAUUUGUUUGUUAGGCCGUAUAUCUGAUUAUUGUUUUGUAAUAAAGAACUUACUAAAUACAUAUUUUUAAAACUUAAUAUGAUGAAUUUGAAUUUAAUUAAGUAGAACUUUAUAUUAUCUAUCGAAGCAUUUGGCCUAUAUCCUUAUCAAUUCUCUUCUUUGUCAUUCUAAUAAUUGCCACCUCUUUCUAAAAAAGCUUAUUAUGGUACUAUUUUUGUAAAUCUCGAACUAGUAAGGAUCCUAAUGUUAGAUUAUUCAUACUUUCAUAGAUGAAUAAAUUUAAAUUAAAGUCACUAAUUUGUAUGAUAUUUUUAUUGACUGGAAUAUGCAGUUGUUGCUAUACAGUAACUUGAUAAACUUUAAGAUAUCAGUUCAGCAACAGAAUUUUAUAAAUUAUCAGAAGAUUAUUAGGUUUUCAGUUCUUCUAACAAGAUGAUAAGAUGACUUUAUUUGUUAAGAAGCUUAGGAGCAGGAAUGAGCAAUCUUAACUAAUUCUGGCAGACUUAAUACACAUAAAAAAGGUUCAAAAUCAAGUAACGUGUUUGUUUGGUAAAGCAAAAUAAAAGUCUUUGUUGGUGUAAUUUAAUCAUUUUACCUGUUAAUCCUGAAAAUUACUCCAUUAAUAAUUUUGUAUUACAGGUGGCUAAGUCUUGCUUUGUUCCGGCUCUAUUUGGGCAUGCCAUUGAUGAUGAUUUUAUACAACCUCAUCAUUCAGAUCGUAUAUUUGAAGCUUAUGUUGGAGACAAGAAUAUUAUCAAGUUUGAAGGAGAUCACAAUUCUCCACGCCCACAAUUCUACUUUGAUUCCAUAAAUAUUUUUUUCCACAAUGUUUUGCGUCCUCCAGAGGAUGAGGUGGGGGGAACAUAUUUUGACACAAUGC